CAUUCCUCCUUGCAAAACUGCUCCAGCUCCAGCUCCAGCUCCUUCAAGUUGAAUGGUUUGUGCUUGUGAACAGCAAUCUUUAAGUCUGACCACAGAUUUUCUAUUGGAUGGAGGUCUGAGCUUUGCCUAGACCAUUCCAACACAUUUACAUGAUUCCCCUUAAACCACUCAAGUGUUGCUUUAGCAGUGUGUUUGGGGUCAUUGUCCUGCUUGAAGGUGAACCUCCGUGCACAG
Non-coding RNA from Pelobates cultripes (western spadefoot toad), 234 nucleotides. The record is from the annotation of a GenBank genome assembly. Lineage: Eukaryota; Metazoa; Chordata; Amphibia; Anura; Pelobatidae.